RNAcentral lists this transfer RNA (77 nucleotides) under Chloroflexota bacterium. RNAcentral's name for it is "tRNA-Met". It matches the Rfam family "tRNA". Rfam says of the family: Transfer RNA (tRNA) molecules are approximately 80 nucleotides in length. Their secondary structure includes four short double-helical elements and three loops (D, anti-codon, and T loops). Further hydrogen bonds mediate the characteristic L-shaped molecular structure. tRNAs have two regions of fundamental functional importance: the anti-codon, which is responsible for specific mRNA codon recognition, and the 3' end, to which the tRNAs corresponding amino acid is attached (by aminoacyl-tRNA synthetases). tRNAs cope with the degeneracy of the genetic code in two manners: having more than one tRNA (with a specific anti-codon) for a particular amino acid; and 'wobble' base-pairing, i.e. permitting non-standard base-pairing at the 3rd anti-codon position. Lineage: Bacteria; Bacillati; Chloroflexota. The record is from RNAcentral.
GUUUCCUUAGCUCAGUUGGUUAGAGCACCCGACUCAUAAUCGGUAGGUCCUCAGUUCAAGUCUGAGAGGAAGCACCA